CUUCAGCCAGUUAACUCUGCCAGAUCCUUUUCCUCAUGGGGCCUGGUAAUGGACUGUGAAGAACAGCCUCAGUGUCAGUGAAUGUAGCCUGUUGCCUAUACAGGUAUCCUUAAGCAACCUUGGAUACAGUU
Psammomys obesus (fat sand rat) is the source of this 131-nucleotide small nucleolar RNA. RefSeq annotates it as small nucleolar RNA SNORA70. NCBI's taxonomy places the organism in Eukaryota, Metazoa, Chordata, Mammalia, Rodentia, Muridae. The transcript has a single exon. The record is from RefSeq and is a predicted model, not a curated record.